CAGAGGGUGCGAGCGUUGUUCGGAAUUACUGGGCGUAAAGCGCGCGCAGGCGGCCCUUUAAGUCCGUCGGUCAAAUGCCGGGGCUCAACCCCGAGCGUGCCGAGGAUACUGGAGGGCUGGAGACACGUAGAGGCAAGCGGAAUUCCGGGUGUAGCGGUGGAAUGCGUAGAGAUCCGGAAGAACACCGGAGGCGAAGGCGGCUUGCUGGGCGUGAUCUGACGCUGAGGCGCGAAAGCGUGGGGAGCGAACAGGAUUAGAUACCCUGGUAGUCCACGCCGUAAACGAUGGGCACUAGACGCUGGGGGGAUCGACCCUCUCGGUGUCGCAGCUAACGCGAUAAGUGCCCCGCCUGGGGAGUACGGCCGCAAGGCUG
This 373-nucleotide ribosomal RNA is filed under the name uncultured organism. Its description in RNAcentral is "bacterial SSU rRNA". It matches the Rfam family "Bacterial small subunit ribosomal RNA", at positions 526 to 896 of the family's 1533-position model. The record is from RNAcentral.